GCGCAUAUGGCCGAGUGGUUUAAGGCGAUGGUUUUAAGAUUUAGUUUUAAACACCAUUAUCGAGAGAUGCCUGGGUUCGAACCCCAGUGUGCGCA
Molecule: non-coding RNA, 95 nt
Organism: Trichoderma citrinoviride
Lineage: Eukaryota; Fungi; Ascomycota; Sordariomycetes; Hypocreales; Hypocreaceae
Source: the annotation of a RefSeq genome assembly